Molecule: small nuclear RNA, 115 nt
Organism: Hemibagrus wyckioides
Lineage: Eukaryota; Metazoa; Chordata; Actinopteri; Siluriformes; Bagridae
Product: U5 spliceosomal RNA
Exons: 1
Source: RefSeq, a predicted model, not a curated record
UAGUUCUGGUUUCUCUUAAUUCAUGUAUAAAUCUUUCACUUUUUAUUAAAGAUUUCCAUGGAGAGGAACAUCAAUGAGUUUGAUAUAUUUUUAUGAGCUUUGCUCUGUCAAAGCU